RNAcentral lists this long non-coding RNA (940 nucleotides) under Ananas comosus (pineapple). Its description in RNAcentral is "long non-coding RNA (ACOM_LNC005185)". The record is from RNAcentral. Lineage: Eukaryota; Viridiplantae; Streptophyta; Magnoliopsida; Poales; Bromeliaceae.
AAAACGGAGUAGAAAUAAGAUCUCUCAAAAGAACCAAAACUUAAUUAUAUCCGAAGCGCCGAACUCUAUGGCUGCGUUUGGUUCGGGUAUAAGUAAGAACUGCUAGUUCCAGGGAUAGGUACAAGUUCAGGUAUAAGCAGGAACUAAACCAAUUUUACGUUUGGAUGAAAAUUGGGUUGUUCCUAGGAAUAAGGUAAAUAGUGUUUGGAUGGUUAGAUUGGAACAAGAGAAAUGAGAGUUAUAAUUUGAAAUUAAAAUUAUAUUAUGUAAUUAAUUAACAUCAAAAUAUUAUUUAAUAAUUAUUAGUAAUUAAUUAUAAAUAAUAAAUUAAUAAUAUCGAUUAUUUAUUUAAUAAUAAUAAUAAUUAUUAUUAAUAAUUAUUAAUAAAUAAUAAUAAUUAUUAAGUAUUCUUAUUAAUUAAUUAUAAAUAAUAAAUUAAUAAUAAUAUUGAUUAUCUAAUUAUUAAUAAUAAUUAAUAUUAAUAUUUAUUAAUAAAUAAUAAUAAUUAUUAUUAAUUAAUUAUAAAUAAUAAAUUAAUAAUAAUAUCGAUUAUCAUUAAGAAUAAUAAUUAUUAAUAAAUAAUAAUAAAUAUUAAAUUAAUAAUAAUAAUUAUCUAAUUAUUAAUAAUUAAUUAUAAAUAAUAAAUAAAUUAAUUAUUUAAUUAUUAAAGCAAUAAAUAAUGAUUUAAAUAUAUUAAUUAGAUUAAUUAAUAAUUUACUGUCAUUAAAAUUAAAUUUAGAUUUUAAUAAAUCUUGUUCUCAUCAAGGAACAAGCUAGUUUCAGAAAACGGGUGGAACAACAGUUCCAGCCUUAUACCAGCUUGUUCCAGAAUCUCGAAAACUGCUGUUUCUGAAAACCAAACAUACCGUUUGAAAACAAAAGGAAGAAUAAGAGCUUAUUUUCCCCCUUGUUCCCGAACCAAAUGCUACCUAUGUGCCUC